UACGUAGGUGGCAAGCGUUGUCCGGAAUUAUUGGGCGUAAAGCGCGCGCAGGCGGUCUUUUAAGUCUGAUGUGAAAGCCCACGGCUCAACCGUGGAAGGUCAUUGGAAACUGGGGGACUUGAGUGCAGAAGAGGAAAGCGGAAUUCCACGUGUAGCGGUGAAAUGCGUAGAGAUGUGGAGGAACACCAGUGGCGAAGGCGGCUUUCUGGUCUGUAACUGACGCUGAGGCGCGAAAGCGUGGGGAGCAAACAGG
RNAcentral lists this ribosomal RNA (253 nucleotides) under uncultured bacterium. RNAcentral's name for it is "partial 16S ribosomal RNA". It matches the Rfam family "Bacterial small subunit ribosomal RNA", at positions 524 to 776 of the family's 1533-position model. The record is from RNAcentral.